Molecule: ribosomal RNA, 550 nt
Filed under: uncultured bacterium
Lineage: Bacteria
Description: bacterial SSU rRNA
Rfam family: Bacterial small subunit ribosomal RNA
Source: RNAcentral
UAGGGAAUCUUCGGCAAUGGACGGAAGUCUGACCGAGCAACGCCGCGUGAGUGAAGAAGGUUUUCGGGUCGUAAAGCUCUGUUGUAAGAGAAGAACGAGUGUGAGAGUGGAAAGUUCACACUGUGACGGUAUCUUACCAGAAAGGGACGGCUAACUACGUGCCAGCAGCCGCGGUAAUACGUAGGUCCCGAGCGUUGUCCGGAUUUAUUGGGCGUAAAGCGAGCGCAGGCGGUUAGAUAAGUCUGAAGUUAAAGGCUGUGGCUUAACCAUAGUAGGCUUUGGAAACUGUUUAACUUGAGUGCAAGAGGGGAGAGUGGAAUUCCAUGUGUAGCGGUGAAAUGCGUAGAUAUAUGGAGGAACACCGGUGGCGAAAGCGGCUCUCUGGCUUGUAACUGACGCUGAGGCUCGAAAGCGUGGGGAGCAAACAGGAUUAGAUACCCUGGUAGUCCACGCCGUAAACGAUGAGUGCUAGGUGUUAGACCCUUUCCGGGGUUUAGUGCCGCAGCUAACGCAUUAAGCACUCCGCCUGGGGAGUACGACCGCAAGGUUG